This is a long non-coding RNA of Lucilia cuprina (Australian sheep blowfly), 365 nucleotides long. RefSeq lists it as uncharacterized. The transcript is spliced from 2 exons. The record is from RefSeq and is a predicted model, not a curated record. Lineage: Eukaryota; Metazoa; Arthropoda; Insecta; Diptera; Calliphoridae.
ACCACUCGCGGUCUUGUAACAUUCACUGGUAAAUUUUGUAUUUUUACUUAAUACAAUUUUUUACACUUGGUCCUUCGAACCGGAUUAGUGCCGUGGCCAGGUUCACUGUUCGUGAAAAAAAGCGUCAAUCUCGGCUUCGACAGAGAUUGAAUUAGCAACAGCUAAUUAUAAAUUUAAUAUAUAUGUUUAAUGGGUUAAUACUACCUUUAUUAUCAAUGUCUACUCCUCUAAUUUUACACCUAUGAUUAGAAAGUGACGUUUAUUCUAACGAGUAAACCGCUAACGGUUCCUUAAACAUUGUUUGCCAUCUACCUUUUACUUAUUUUUAAUGUACUCGUUACUUUACUUUGGUUUUGAUAUUAUAU